GGGAGACAGACAGAUACAGAGAGAGAAGAAAGAAGAGAGAGAAAAUAAACCCUUCAAAGGCAUUACUCCUUUGAUUCUCCUUUCCUAAAGCUUCCAUCACCUCCCAAUAGUACUACCAUUGGGGAUCAUGCCAACACAUGAGCUUUUGGGGGACUCCAGGUCUAAAUCUGGAAUGGGUAAUGAGGUAGAGAUUGAUACUAUCAAUAAGGCAUAUUGUUAAAAAAACUGAUUUUAGUCCUGGUAAGUAUGAGGUAUAAGCAACAUAUCAAGUUGGAGAUAUCAUAUAUAGAUUGCAAUUUUGGUGGUGUAGGAAGAAACCAAGAGAAAGAUUCAAGCUAAAGAUACAAUCCAAGGGAAUCAUUAGCAUUUAGGCUACCACUGAAAUCAUGGUUGAGGAGAAUAUCCAGGGAAAGGAGGUUUUCUUCCUGAGCUUAAAAUCUGUCUAUAGUGUCCAAUAGAAAAUAAUCCCCAAUCCCUUUGUAGUCAGGGGCUCUUCUCAUUUUAAUAGAACAAUAUUAGUAGGUUUCUAAAUGACUCUAGAUUAUCAUGUUAUGGUAUGGACCUGGAAAGUCUUCCAAAGUUUCAUGUAUUGAAGGCUUAAUUCUCCAAUGAAGCAAUGUUCAGAAGUGGGGAUUUUGAGAAGUGAUUGAAUCACGAGGGCUCUGACCUCAUCAAUGUACUGAUGUAUUAAGGGAUUCACAUCUGAAUCAAAUAUUGGGAGGGUGUGGAAACUAUAGAAGGCAGAAACUACUUGGAGGGAGUGGGUCCUUGGAGUUAUGCCCUUGGGGACUAUCUUGUCCCUGUCUUUUCUUCCUUCUCUCUCUAUGCUUCUCAGAUGCCAUGGGGUGAAAAGCUCUGCUUCAGAAUAUCUUCUGCCAAGAUACUUUGCUUCAUCACAGUUCCACAGCGACUGAGCCAGGUGACCAUGGACUGAAAUUUCUGAAACUGAUGAAAUUUCAACUACAUCUUUAAAAAGUCCAUUUUAAUAAGGAUAAAAGGAAAAAUGCAUCUUUAAUUACUACCAAAUGAAAGACAUACUGUUAGUUUACUUCCUGUGGAAAAAAUAAUAAAAGCUAUGUGGGUACUAAAUUCAAUGUGUUCCUGAGGAACUUUCCUUAAGAUAGAAAGUGACUGAUACAUACCAUUAUUCAAAGACUAGCAUAUCUACUGGAUAGUUAUUCUGAUACUGUUUUAUAUUCACAGACAAGGUCAUGUAACUCCCAAUCCCAAACAAAUGAUGGAUCAGCCCUAGUAUGAGUAUCCAGUAUCUGGUACCAACAAAUACUGGAAUUCUCUAAAACAUGUUUAAACAAGAAUACUGUUGAGUGAAAUUUUCUUUGCCUUAUUAGAUUCAGAGUAGAGGUGCAAUACCAGAAAGAGAGAAAUUAAUUUUGAAAAACACUGCAUGCAAAGGAAUGACCUUCAGACACACUCAAAUACUGCAAGUUAGUUCACAUAACAGCACAUUUCUGGAUGCCCCUAUUUAUCUUAGUUCUUCUAGCCUGUUUUCAGCUAGGAAUGUCCAUAUGACCAAACCUUUUCCUGCUAUAGUUCUUUUAACCAGAGUACAUGAUCUUGUAACCCUGUGAAGCCCACCCCAGUCUGGCAACCACCAACCCACAGGUAUCCUCUUAUCACUCUCAGCCAUUAGAAAUAGGCAGAGAUGGACAGCCCUAACUGUUGCUUUCUUCUCAAGAAUACCUACUUGUCAUAGGUAUGUUUACUACCUAAUCUCAACUGUACCUACUACAAGGCCUUUUUAGCCUCACUGUCACAGUCCAUUUUUAGUCACAACUGCCAGCUGUACUGGACCAUUUUGUCAAAAGAAAGGAGAAAGAACUCUUAAAUAUUGAGGUAGCUUUCUGGUUGUUAGCUACCUUCUAAUUUUCAAUCACCAGAAAUUGUUUUUCCCUUGGCAAAUCUUUGCUCUAAAUAUUAAACCAAAACAAAACAAACAACAAAAAGGCACUUUAUUGUAAUGAGUUUUUAACCUUGCAGAGUGACCAAGUAUUGAAUAACAUAACUUAUUCUGUAAAAUCUUUUAAAUCAUAUUAAUUAAGUAACUUACAGAAUGCCUAAGGAUUAGUAAUAACAAAAGGGCAACCAGUAGAAUGGAAUAAAAUUAAAUAAUCCUAAAUUAACUCAAUUGUUACCAAAGCAAAUUUUGAAUAAGCAGGGUGUAAAUAAAGUUAAAUUGUUUGACUCAGGAAUUUUAAAGGUUUGUUGAAGAUGGAAGGCCUCCACCUGCAUCAUUGGUCCUGAAGAGUCAAGAAGAUGGGCCAUCUUCAGAUCAAUGGUAUUUGGGACUCAGAAAACACGAGGCUACUGCACUCCAUGGAUAUGAACAGAGGCAUCUACAGAAACCCCUCUCAGGAGGGCAAGAUUUCAGCCUCUACGAGAGGCCCAGGUUGCUGGCUAUCCAGCACCCUCUGGUGGCCAGAUUUGACUCUCAAGAUUUUCUACCGGCUUCGAACUCUCCUCUUUUUUAACACAAUAUAUUUAAAAUCUUUUUUAGAUAAAGAAGAAAUCAUCAAUAGCACUGCUUGGCUAAACUGCUUUUGUGUAAAUUUGGCACCCCAAAAAGUAAGCUAUUAAAAUGCUUCCAAGAGAGAAAA
Molecule: non-coding RNA, 2615 nt
Organism: Ictidomys tridecemlineatus (thirteen-lined ground squirrel)
Lineage: Eukaryota; Metazoa; Chordata; Mammalia; Rodentia; Sciuridae
Source: RefSeq, a predicted model, not a curated record